Molecule: long non-coding RNA, 259 nt
Filed under: Lathyrus oleraceus (garden pea)
Lineage: Eukaryota; Viridiplantae; Streptophyta; Magnoliopsida; Fabales; Fabaceae
Description: Pisum sativum (pea) long non-coding RNA (PSAT_LNC002352)
Source: RNAcentral
AUCAAAGAAUGAAAUAAUGAAGCAUUAAACAAUGUAUGAGUGUAAGUGCAAGGGACAUGUCUCAUUGUAAGAAAGCCCAAGAGUAAGCUAUGUGAGGUUGAUGGCGAUGCUUAAAAAGCAAUCGACUUACGAGGGUGUAAAAAUGGGCUCGAUAUUAAAUCGAGAAAAGUAUGAUUUUUAUAGUUUUUUAAAAAAAUGGUUUUGAACUAAACUAAAAUACAACAACUAUGCAUUAUUAACAAAUGAAAUCAUGAGUAUA